Gossypium arboreum is the source of this 1284-nucleotide long non-coding RNA. RefSeq lists it as uncharacterized. The record is from RefSeq and is a predicted model, not a curated record. The transcript is spliced from 5 exons. Lineage: Eukaryota; Viridiplantae; Streptophyta; Magnoliopsida; Malvales; Malvaceae.
GUCUGAAUUUAACUAGACUAAAAUAAGAACUAAGCCUUAUCCUGUACCAAUCAAAUCAAAUAGCUGGAAACCAAUAGUUGUCAUCUUUUCAAAUCAACCGUUCUAACCAUUAAUUAUAGCAGGUUUUCAAAAAAUGCAUUAACUUCUCAUCUGCUACUUUUCACUUCACAACUUUUCAUUUCUUCUUUCACUUAGUCUGGAGCUUUUGGCCAAAAACUCUCCACUGCUUGGCGAACUGAAUCUGGAAUUCCUCCCAUCAGUUGCUAUCUCGGAGUGCAUGACUGCCUUCGAUGCGAGGAUCUCCCCCUCCUCGUUCAGUACAAGCAAACCCGUAGUCGAUCUGGACGAUAGUCGGUCGAAGGUUGCGUCAAAAUAAACUGUGAUCUUUCCCCUUCUACAUAUCUGUUGAGUAUUUUCAGCUGGUUGAAGAGUAAAUCUUGUCUCCUCUAUUGCAUCCAGUUCUACCAUAACAAAAGAGCCAGAUCUGCUCAUCUGUUCCUUUAUCAUAGACCUAGAUGGACAUUAUUGAAAAAUAUGAGUGUUGUCCUUAUCUCCUUGGCGACAUCUAGGACAUUGGGCAUCCACCACAACCCUCUUGAGCCUAAGGUUGAGAAGAGACGGAAUGAAGUUCCAAGAUAUUCUCCAAACUGUAAUUUGAAUUUUUGAGGGGAUGCAUAAUUUCCAUAGUUUUCUGUAGAAAUUUUUAAUUUCGAUCUGUAAAAUAAUAGUAUUAGGAUCCAAGCAAAUUUCAUGUAAUAGUUUGUAGGCACUCCUAACGGAGAACUCCCCUGUCAACUCCCCUUUCCAUACUUGAAAAGCUUCAUGUGCUGUCUCCGCUAGCGGGAUCUUCAGAAUUUUUUCCGCUACAUCCAUUUGGAAGAUAUUUGAUCCCCUCUCCCAACCCUCUAGCAUAAUCCUUUCUCCAGAAGCCCUCUCGCAGCCCAGACACUUUUUUAGGUAAGCGAAGAAUUGCAUCUUCUUCUUCAUCAAGUGUUAAACCGGCGAAUUCUGAUUCCAUGGAUGUAGACAGAAAAACAAGAGGCGUUGAAAAUUGAUUUUUAAACUUAAUAAGAUUAUGGAGAUGGUAGCCGCCCAAUAAAGGAGACUCAAAACAGAAAAACCUAAAGGCUUGCUAGAGAGAGCAGACAGAGACGUGCUAGAGUAGCAGACUUGAAAAUCCUAAUUAAAUAAAAUUAAUUUGCAAAUAAAUAUGUUGAUUAAAAUAUUUAAAAAUAAAUUAAGAAUGUUAUAAUUAAUAAUAUCAUAUUUUGUUUUUAUAUAUAA